UACGGAGGGUGCGAGCGUUGUCCGGAAUCACUGGGCGUAAAGGGCGCGUAGGCGGCGCGGAUAGUCGGCGGUGAAAGCCCGGAGCUCAACUCCGGGUCGGCCGUCGAUACUUCCGGGCUUGAGCACUGUAGAGGCAGAUGGAAUUCCGGGUGUAGCGGUGGAAUGCGUAGAGAUCCGGAAGAACACCGGUGGCGAAGGCGGUCUGCUGGGCGAGUUGCUGACGCUGAUGCGCGACAGCGGUGGGGAGCAAACGAGGAUUAGAGUACCCCGGUAGAUCCACCGGACAAGUCCUCGUGCCAUACCGUUAAUC
This 310-nucleotide ribosomal RNA is filed under the name uncultured bacterium. Its description in RNAcentral is "partial 16S ribosomal RNA". It matches the Rfam family "Bacterial small subunit ribosomal RNA", at positions 524 to 828 of the family's 1533-position model. The record is from RNAcentral.